The sequence is a transfer RNA, 74 nucleotides long. It matches the Rfam family "tRNA". From Rfam's summary of the family: Transfer RNA (tRNA) molecules are approximately 80 nucleotides in length. Their secondary structure includes four short double-helical elements and three loops (D, anti-codon, and T loops). The record is from Rfam.
CGGGGUGUAGCUCAGCUUGGUAGAGCGCCGUCUUUGGGAGGCGGAUGCCGUAGGUUCGAAUCCUAUCACCCCGA